This is a long non-coding RNA of Cynocephalus volans (Philippine flying lemur), 332 nucleotides long. RefSeq lists it as uncharacterized. The transcript is spliced from 2 exons. The record is from RefSeq and is a predicted model, not a curated record. Lineage: Eukaryota; Metazoa; Chordata; Mammalia; Dermoptera; Cynocephalidae.
UUCACACGUCUUACUUCCUGUCCUAGUCCCAGAGCCUGUAAAGGUGAACCCACUGGGGCUGGCUGGGGGAGAAGAGGAAAGUUUGUUCCAGAAGGAACUGUCUGAGGGAUCAUAAGGUUAUCUGUACACAGGAAAAGGGAGAAUCGUCACUUAUUGAAACAUAAGUUGUUUGUCUUUUCCAGGUCUGAGGAAAGAAUAAGGUGCAUAUAAAUGGAAUCCAAAUCUCUUGGAGGUCAUCAGAAAGGGAAUUUUCAAACCUUUUAUGGUACAGCCUAGCUGAUUAAGUUAAUAUGCAAUCAUUUUAGUCUUCCUAAUAAAGCUUUCCUUUUUAA